UCUCUUGAGAGCGGCGGACGGGUGAGUAAUGCCUAGGAAUCUGCCUGGUAGUGGGGGAUAACGUUCGGAAACGGACGCUAAUACCGCAUACGUCCUACGGGAGAAAGCAGGGGACCUUCGGGCCUUGCGCUAUCAGAUGAGCCUAGGUCGGAUUAGCUAGUUGGUGGGGUAAUGGCUCACCAAGGCGACGAUCCGUAACUGGUCUGAGAGGAUGAUCAGUCACACUGGAACUGAGACACGGUCCAGACUCCUACGGGAGGCAGCAGUGGGGAAUAUUGGACAAUGGGCGAAAGCCUGAUCCAGCCAUGCCGCGUGUGUGAAGAAGGUCUUCGGAUUGUAAAGCACUUUAAGUUGGGAGGAAGGGUUGUAGAUUAAUACUCUGCAAUUUUGACGUUACCGACAGAAUAAGCACCGGCUAACUCUGUGCCAGCAGCCGCGGUAAUACAGAGGGUGCAAGCGUUAAUCGGAAUUACUGGGCGUAAAGCGCGCGUAGGUGGUUUGUUAAGUUGGAUGUGAAAUCCCCGGGCUCAACCUGGGAACUGCAUUCAAAACUGACUGACUAGAGUAUGGUAGAGGGUGGUGGAAUUUCCUGUGUAGCGGUGAAAUGCGUA
RNAcentral lists this ribosomal RNA (611 nucleotides) under uncultured bacterium. RNAcentral's name for it is "bacterial SSU rRNA". It matches the Rfam family "Bacterial small subunit ribosomal RNA", at positions 85 to 692 of the family's 1533-position model. The record is from RNAcentral.